CAGAGGGUGCGAGCGUUAAUCGGAUUUACUGGGCGUAAAGCGUGCGUAGGCGGCUUUAAGUCGGAUGUGAAAUCCCUGAGCUUAACUUAGGAAUUGCAUUCGAUACUGGGAAGCUAGAGUAUGGGAGAGGAUGGUAGAAUUCCAGGUGUAGCGGUGAAAUGCGUAGAGAUCUGGAGGAAUACCGAUGGCGAAGGCAGCCAUCUGGCCUAAUACUGACGCUGAGGUACGAAAGCAUGGGAGCAAACAGGAUU
RNAcentral lists this ribosomal RNA (251 nucleotides) under uncultured bacterium. RNAcentral's name for it is "partial 16S ribosomal RNA". It matches the Rfam family "Bacterial small subunit ribosomal RNA", at positions 526 to 779 of the family's 1533-position model. The record is from RNAcentral.